Molecule: long non-coding RNA, 263 nt
Filed under: Elaeis guineensis (African oil palm)
Lineage: Eukaryota; Viridiplantae; Streptophyta; Magnoliopsida; Arecales; Arecaceae
Description: long non-coding RNA (EGUI_LNC050161)
Source: RNAcentral
GCUACCUCAGUGACUUGCAAGCAACUCACUGUACUUUAGUAUCGAACUAUCCAAAUUUUUAAUUCGAUGAUGAAAGAUUUUUGAGUAUAGUCAAGUACUUGAGAAGUCUAAGUACGAGUCAAGAUGAGAUUAACCGCUUCAAGUAGAAUUGAAGAUGAUGCAUCACUAUAUUUUCAUUCAGCAAAACUCUAGCUAGAGUAGUCCUAGUGAGAAGUCAUAAGAUUUUUUAAGGUUGAGACACAAUAUGGAUCACUCAUCUAGGA